Molecule: small nuclear RNA, 107 nt
Organism: Schistocerca gregaria
Lineage: Eukaryota; Metazoa; Arthropoda; Insecta; Orthoptera; Acrididae
Source: RefSeq, a predicted model, not a curated record
GCACUCGCUUUGUAUGUACGUAUACUAAAAUUGGAACGAUACAGAAAAUAUUAGCAUGGUCGCUGCCCAAGGGUGACACGCAAAACCGUGACAGCAACUGCCGUGAC